CAGCAGCCCUGGAUUCACUGGUUCUGAUCCUAAGUGUGGACCUACCCACCACUUAUCAAGCUGUUCUAAUCUUCCUCACAAAAAAAAAAAAAAGAGGCCCAUGAUUAAUCUUUUCAUUAAUUCUCUAUCUUUUGGAUCUUCCUAAAUCAACAAAUUACUACUCAAAUUAAACCCUAGUUUUAUAUCUGCAUUCUCUCUGUUCUAGUCUGAAAAGCCUACAAGCUUUUCUUUCUAGUCCCCAUUUCUGCCUCACUCCAGAAUCUGGCUCAAAACCUGGACUUUCUUGAAUCCAAAGGCUGGCAAGUAAAUCUUCUAUCAGAUAGCUCUGUCACAUGUCUGUGUAUUAAAAAUAGCUAAUAUGACUCACUAACACUCCUUACUUACUCAGACUGAAGGGCAGCUCUUGUGCCCCAAGGAUGGGAGUGUGGAGGAGGGCAGUGUGUGAAGAGAGCACCGAUAUUCAGAAAGAAUUCUCUAAACUUCUCAUUGAUGUCGAAUUUGUCCCCGGUAUUUCCAGCAGGAAGCACAUCUGUUUCUGAGGGCAGAGACUGCGGUAAAAUACUCCAGUGUGAGGAACAACUGUGCUAAGUCGUGAUGCAGGGAAUAGAGCGGAUGCCAAGUUCGUUGUUGCUUCCUUUUAAAGCCUGGCAGUCAUGUGACCCUCCCGGCUGUCUCUGCUGGAAGAAAUGAGAAACUCACCCAUUAAGAGACCUUCUACAGCAGCUCCU
Molecule: non-coding RNA, 728 nt
Organism: Equus caballus (horse)
Lineage: Eukaryota; Metazoa; Chordata; Mammalia; Perissodactyla; Equidae
Source: RefSeq, a predicted model, not a curated record